ACAUUUUUUUAAGAUUUUUAUUUAAAAUAGUUCCUGCCCUAUGAUAGUAAAAUUUAAAUGGCUGCAGUAUUCUGACUGUGCAAAGGUAGCAUAAUAAUUAGUUUCUUAAUUAGGGACUUGUAUGAAUGGAUUAAUGAGAAAUUUAUUUUAUUAUAAUUAUUAUUAUAAUUUAAAUUUUGAGUUAAAAUGCUCAAUUAUAUUAUUGGGACGAUAAGACCCUGUAGAACUUUAAGAUAUUAUUUAUUUCUUUUAUAUUUUAGAUUUUAUUAUUGAAAUAUUUGUUUUCUUUUUGCUGGGGUGGUGAAUAAAAGUUUAACUUUAUUUAAUUUAGUCAUUAAUUUAUGUUUAUCUGAUCCAUUAAGUAAUGAUUAUAAGAUUAAGUUACCUCAGGGAUAACAGCGUAAUUUUAAUGGAAAGUUCAUAUUUAUAUUAAAGUUUGCGACCUCGAUGUUGAAUUAAGAUUAAAUUAAGGGGUAGGUUCUUUAAUUAUAGGUCUGUUCGACCUUUAAAUUCUUACAUGAUCUG
This 525-nucleotide ribosomal RNA is filed under the name Tremulicerus sandagouensis. Its description in RNAcentral is "partial large subunit ribosomal RNA". The stretch from base 392 to 525 matches the Rfam family "Archaeal large subunit ribosomal RNA", at positions 2542 to 2676 of the family's 2987-position model. The record is from RNAcentral. Lineage: Eukaryota; Metazoa; Arthropoda; Insecta; Hemiptera; Cicadellidae.